Molecule: ribosomal RNA, 1651 nt
Filed under: Salmonella enterica subsp. enterica serovar Typhimurium var. 5-
Lineage: Bacteria; Pseudomonadati; Pseudomonadota; Gammaproteobacteria; Enterobacterales; Enterobacteriaceae
Description: bacterial LSU rRNA
Rfam family: Bacterial large subunit ribosomal RNA
Source: RNAcentral
CACCGAAGCUGCGGCAGCGACGCUGAUACGUUCGUUGGGUAGGGGAGCGUUCUGUAAGCCUGUGAAGGUGUGUCGUGAGGCAUGCUGGAGGUAUCAGAAGUGCGAAUGCUGACAUAAGUAACGAUAAAGCGGGUGAAAAGCCCGCUCGCCGGAAGACCAAGGGUUCCUGUCCAACGUUAAUCGGGGCAGGGUGAGUCGACCCCUAAGGCGAGGCCGAAAGGCGUAGUCGAUGGGAAACGGGUUAAUAUUCCCGUACUUGGUGUUACUGCGAAGGGGGGACGGAGAAGGCUAUGUUGGCCGGGCGACGGUUGUCCCGGUUUAAGCGUGUAGGUGUGUGUUCCAGGUAAAUCCGGUUCACUUUAACACUGAGGCGUGACGACGAGGCACUACGGUGCUGAAGCAACAAAUGCCCUGCUUCCAGGAAAAGCCUCUAAGCAUCAGGUAACAUCAAAUCGUACCCCAAACCGACACAGGUGGUCAGGUAGAGAAUACCAAGGCGCUUGAGAGAACUCGGGUGAAGGAACUAGGCAAAAUGGUGCCGUAACUUCGGGAGAAGGCACGCUGACACGUAGGUGAAGUGAUUUACUCAUGGAGCUGAAGUCAGUCGAAGAUACCAGCUGGCUGCAACUGUUUAUUAAAAACACAGCACUGUGCAAACACGAAAGUGGACGUAUACGGUGUGACGCCUGCCCGGUGCCGGAAGGUUAAUUGAUGGGGUCAGCGCAAGCGAAGCUCCUGAUCGAAGCCCCGGUAAACGGCGGCCGUAACUAUAACGGUCCUAAGGUAGCGAAAUUCCUUGUCGGGUAAGUUCCGACCUGCACGAAUGGCGUAAUGAUGGCCAGGCUGUCUCCACCCGAGACUCAGUGAAAUUGAACUCGCUGUGAAGAUGCAGUGUACCCGCGGCAAGACGGAAAGACCCCGUGAACCUUUACUAUAGCUUGACACUGAACAUUGAGCCUUGAUGUGUAGGAUAGGUGGGAGGCUUUGAAGUGUGGACGCCAGUCUGCAUGGAGCCGACCUUGAAAUACCACCCUUUAAUGUUUGAUGUUCUAACGUGGACCCGUAAUCCGGGUUGCGGACAGUGUCUGGUGGGUAGUUUGACUGGGGCGGUCUCCUCCUAAAGAGUAACGGAGGAGCACGAAGGUUGGCUAAUCCUGGUCGGACAUCAGGAGGUUAGUGCAAUGGCAUAAGCCAGCUUGACUGCGAGCGUGACGGCGCGAGCAGGUGCGAAAGCAGGUCAUAGUGAUCCGGUGGUUCUGAAUGGAAGGGCCAUCGCUCAACGGAUAAAAGGUACUCCGGGGAUAACAGGCUGAUACCGCCCAAGAGUUCAUAUCGACGGCGGUGUUUGGCACCUCGAUGUCGGCUCAUCACAUCCUGGGGCUGAAGUAGGUCCCAAGGGUAUGGCUGUUCGCCAUUUAAAGUGGUACGCGAGCUGGGUUUAGAACGUCGUGAGACAGUUCGGUCCCUAUCUGCCGUGGGCGCUGGAGAACUGAGGGGGGCUGCUCCUAGUACGAGAGGACCGGAGUGGACGCAUCACUGGUGUUCGGGUUGUCAUGCCAAUGGCACUGCCCGGUAGCUAAAUGCGGAAGAGAUAAGUGCUGAAAGCAUCUAAGCACGAAACUUGCCCCGAGAUGAGUUCUCCCUGAGACUU